RNAcentral lists this transfer RNA (63 nucleotides) under Trigonopterus porg. RNAcentral describes it as "tRNA-Tyr". It matches the Rfam family "tRNA". From Rfam's summary of the family: Transfer RNA (tRNA) molecules are approximately 80 nucleotides in length. Their secondary structure includes four short double-helical elements and three loops (D, anti-codon, and T loops). The record is from RNAcentral. Lineage: Eukaryota; Metazoa; Arthropoda; Insecta; Coleoptera; Curculionidae.
GGUAAAAUGGCUGAGGUUAGGCGGUAAAUUGUAAAUUUACAGACGAAGGGUUUUCUUUUAUCA